UCCAAACCAACAUUCUAUCAGUGAAAAAUAUAGCAAUAAUUUAUUUGAAUUUAGUGACAGAAAGGAUGAUUCAAAGAAGGAACAUCCAAUGGGUAGUUGUAAUUUUGGGGUUUAUUGCUAGUCAAGUGGAAUCCCUUCGAUUUGAUCUGCAAUCUGGUCUCACUAAAUGCAUAGCUGAAGAUAUUAAGAGCCAUGCCAUGACUGUAGGCAAGUACCAAAUUGUGAACCCUAAUGAAGGUUAUCCUUUGCCUGAUACUCACAAAGUCACUGUCAGGGUGACAUCUACAUAUGGAAAUACCUAUCAUCAAGGGGACAAUGUUGUUGAAGGGCAUUUUGCUUUUGAGGCAGCGGAAGCUGGGGAUUACAUGACUUGCUUCUUUGCUGCUGAUCACAAGCCCCCUGUAACUCUUUCUCUCGAUUUUGACUGGAGGACUGGUGUAGCUGCUAAG
This 449-nucleotide unclassified non-coding RNA is filed under the name Hevea brasiliensis (rubber tree). The record is from RNAcentral. Lineage: Eukaryota; Viridiplantae; Streptophyta; Magnoliopsida; Malpighiales; Euphorbiaceae.